GAGUUUGAUCCUGGCUCAGGAUGAACGCUGGCGGCGUGCCUAAUACAUGCAAGUCGAGCGAACAGACGAGGAGCUUGCUCCUCUGACGUUAGCGGCGGACGGGUGAGUAACACGUGGAUAACCUACCUAUAAGACUGGGAUAACUUCGGGAAACCGGAGCUAAUACCGGAUAAUAUAUUGAACCGCAUGGUUCAAUAGUGAAAGACGGUUUUGCUGUCACUUAUAGAUGGAUCCGCGCCGCAUUAGCUAGUUGGUAAGGUAACGGCUUACCAAGGCAACGAUGCGUAGCCGACCUGAGAGGGUGAUCGGCCACACUGGAACUGAGACACGGUCCAGACUCCUACGGGAGGCAGCAGUAGGGAAUCUUCCGCAAUGGGCGAAAGCCUGACGGAGCAACGCCGCGUGAGUGAUGAAGGUCUUCGGAUCGUAAAACUCUGUUAUUAGGAAGAACAAAUGUGUAAGUAACUAUGCACGUCUUGACGGUACCUAAUCAGAAAG
Molecule: ribosomal RNA, 498 nt
Filed under: uncultured microorganism
Description: bacterial SSU rRNA
Rfam family: Bacterial small subunit ribosomal RNA
Source: RNAcentral